This is a small nucleolar RNA of Populus nigra (black poplar), 135 nucleotides long. RefSeq annotates it as small nucleolar RNA snoR74. The record is from RefSeq and is a predicted model, not a curated record. Lineage: Eukaryota; Viridiplantae; Streptophyta; Magnoliopsida; Malpighiales; Salicaceae. The transcript has a single exon.
GAUUUAGAUGGGUUUUGUUUUCUAUGGCCUUUACUUCUUAUCUCGUAAACUUCAGGCAAAUCAAUUUCGUUGUUAUUGGGCGAACCUCUGUUUUAUUUCUUUGUGGCUGAAGGUUCAGUAAACGAUGACACAAUU